GCCUCCGUAGCUCAGUGGAUAGAGCGAGGGCGUCCUAAGCCCUGUCGUCGGGAGUUCGAUUCUCUCCGGGGGCA
RNAcentral lists this transfer RNA (74 nucleotides) under Heliobacterium mobile. RNAcentral's name for it is "Heliobacillus mobilis tRNA". It matches the Rfam family "tRNA". From Rfam's summary of the family: Transfer RNA (tRNA) molecules are approximately 80 nucleotides in length. RNAcentral also lists the same sequence under 1 other name. Lineage: Bacteria; Bacillati; Bacillota; Clostridia; Eubacteriales; Heliobacteriaceae. The record is from Rfam by way of RNAcentral.